This 253-nucleotide ribosomal RNA is filed under the name uncultured bacterium. RNAcentral's name for it is "partial 16S ribosomal RNA". It matches the Rfam family "Bacterial small subunit ribosomal RNA", at positions 524 to 776 of the family's 1533-position model. The record is from RNAcentral.
UACGUAGGGUGCGAGCGUUGUCCGGAAUUAUUGGGCGUAAAGAGCUUGUAGGCGGUUUGUCGCGUCUGCCGUGAAAAUCCGAGGCUCAACCUCGGACUUGCGGUGGGUACGGGCAGACUAGAGUGUGGUAGGGGAGACUGGAAUUCCUGGUGUAGCGGUGAAAUGCGCAGAUAUCAGGAGGAACACCAGCGGCGAAGGCGGCAUCCUGGACUGGUCCUGACACUCAGGAGCGAAAGCGUGGGGAGCGAUCCGG